This 497-nucleotide ribosomal RNA is filed under the name uncultured bacterium. RNAcentral's name for it is "partial 16S ribosomal RNA". It matches the Rfam family "Bacterial small subunit ribosomal RNA", at positions 28 to 507 of the family's 1533-position model. The record is from RNAcentral.
GAUGAACGCUGGCGGCGUGCCUAAUACAUGCAAGUCGAGCGAACGGACGAGAAGCUUGCUUCUCUGAUGUUAGCGGCGGACGGGUGAGUAACACGUGGAUAACCUACCUAUAAGACUGGGAUAACUUCGGGAAACCGGAGCUAAUACCGGAUAAUAUUUUGAACCGCAUGGUUCAAAAGUAAAAGACGGUCUUGCUGUCACUUAUAGAUGGAUCCGCGCUGCAUUAGCUAGUUGGUAAGGUAACGGCUUACCAAGGCAACGAUGCAUAGCCGACCUGAGAGGGUGAGCGCCCACACGGGAACGGAGCCAGGGCCCAACCUCCUCGGGGAGGCACAAGAGGGAAUUCUUCGGAAAUGGGGGAAGGCCGGACGGGGCACCGCGGGGGGAGGAAUAAAGUUCUUGGAAGCUAAAAACUUUUUUAUUGGGAAAAAAAAUGUGGGAAAUAAACGGUCCACAUUUGGAGGUUACCUAACCAGAACCCCCGGGAUAACAACGUC